AAUCAACGCUGGCGGCGUGCCUAACACAUGCAAGUCGAACGAGAAGGUGACUUCGGUCACUGGAUAGUGGCGUCCGGGUGAGUAACACGUAGGUAAUCUACCUUCGGGUGGGGAAUAACGUCUCGAAAGAGACGCUAAUACCGCAUAAUGCAGCGGCACCUAAUGGUGAUUAGUUGUUAAAGCGGGGGAUCUUCGGACCUCGCGCCUGAAGAGGAGCCUGCGGCAGAUAGCUAGUUGGUGAGGUAAUGGCUCACCAAGGCUUCGAUCUGUAGCUGGUCUGAGAGGACGGCCAGCCACACUGGCACUGACACACGGGCCAGACUCCUACGGGAGGCAGCAGUGGGGAAUUUUGGGCAAUGGGCGAAAGCCUGACCCAGCAACGCCGCGUGAAGGAGGAAAUCCUUCGGAUGUAAACUUCAAUAAGUAAGGGAAGAAAGCUGCGGAUCGAAUAAGUCCGC
Molecule: ribosomal RNA, 458 nt
Filed under: uncultured bacterium
Lineage: Bacteria
Description: bacterial SSU rRNA
Rfam family: Bacterial small subunit ribosomal RNA
Source: RNAcentral